GGGGACAAGGGGAGGACUCGGGGACAAGGGGAGGACACGGGGACAAGGGGAGGACGCGGGGCCCUGAACCCAUCGCUGGAGGGGACAAGGGAACAUCCCCGAGCCUCCCAAAACCCCCCAUGGGGAUCCAGAUCUUGGUCCCACAGCCCUUUCCCGACUGUCCCCUCUGUCCCCACCCCGCAGAGGUGGCCCGCUGUCACCAGGGCCAUUCACCACCUGUAUUUAUGUAUUUCCUUGCACCUCACGGCGCUGUCACACCCGCAGUGCCCAGACGAGCACAGACACCAUUUACACACCAUUUACACACCAUUUACACACCAUUUACACACCAUUUACACACCAUUUUCCAGCUCUCUCCGUGCCCAGGCCCAGCCCAGCCCCUCGGAGCCCCCCAGUUAAAAUGUACUGAAGCCCCUGAGGGUCCCCAGCCCCGGGAGGGGACACAGGGCUGAGCUGGGAGCGGGGGGUGCACAGAGGAGGGGGCUGCCACCCCUGGGGACCCCCGGGUGGGCUCAGUCGCGCCUUUGGGGACAGAGGAUGAAGCACAAAGAGCCCCGGGUGUGGCACUGCUGGCACGGGGUGGCACUGCCAGCCUGGGAUAGGGACCGGAUUCCUUCAUCCCUUCAAAAAUCAACUCCAAACCUCCGUGCGGGGCCAGCCGGAGCCCCGGGGCAGUGACAGGGACAAGGAGGUGACACCGCCAGGGGACACCGCCAGGGGACACCGCCAGGGGACACUGGCAGGUGACACCGCCAGGGGACACUGCUCGGGUGGCUCCUGGGAGGGGCCAGGGAGAACAAAGGGAAGGCACGGCCUGAGCUGGGAAUUGAGGAGGAAAAGCGGCUUUUCCCUGAUUUUCUCCAUCGUUUUGGCCCCACAUCCCCCAGGCUGCAGCACAGGAGCCUCUGCCGGGCUUUGGAACAGAGGGAGGGCAGAAACCUCAUCCUGGAUGGCACAAAAGGGAGCAAAAGGGAAUAAACGCCCCAAAACAGCCCCCAGGCCCCUCGAGCACACAACCCCUCAGCAGAAAACCAAAAUGUUUCAGGACAUUUUCCAGGACACUGCAGCCAAGAACCUUUUCACACUGACCCCAAUCCAUUUCUAUCCUGCCAAAACCUCCCAAACUACCCCAAAACUCACGACAGCAGCACCCAGCCAUGAACAGCAGAGAGAAAAUCAAACAGAAAUACAAAGGGAAUUACAGAGAUGGGCAGAAAACAGGAAUUUGUUGGUUUGGAACAACCCCUGUGGCAGCACUUCCCACCUGCCCCAUCCUCACCCUGCCACGGAAUCGGGAUAAAAGGAGCUGCAGCAUCUCCAAAGCCCAGAAAUUCCUUUGUUUUUUGGGUUGCACUGGAUCUGCUCAGCCUUGCUGGAGGAUCUGCUACCCCACGAUCUGUUUCCCUGGAACUGGGCUGUGCUGAGAGGUAAAUCCAGGCUCCAGAAGAUUCUGCUGGAGGUGGGGACGCUCCAGGCCCUGCUCCACAACCACGGAGGAUCCAGGGAGAGGAACAGCUCAGGGGAUGAGAUCCAAGGGGCUGCCCCAGCCAGCCCAGAGGGAGUUUGGGAUGGGAUGGGAUCCUCAGCCAGGGCUGGCUCUGCGCUGGAGCUGCUCCAGAGCUCCCCUGACACCUCAGGAACCCCAGGAUGGAGCAAUUCCCCAAUUCCUCCCCAUUUUGGGCACUGAACCCCGGCAGGGCCCCAGGCUGGAGGGGGCUCGGAGCAUCCCGGGGUAUGGAAGGGGUCCCUGGGUCAGCUCCCAGCUCCUCCCACCCCAAACCAUUCCACGAUUCCACACAAACACUCAGAGCACCCCCAGGAGGAGCUGCCCCACGCAGGAGGUGAAUUUUCCCCAAGAGAUUCCCCCAGUGAGACACGGCUUGGAAAAUGGUGUUUAUUGGUAUUUAUAAAUAUAAACAUCAGGAAGAGUCCAUUUGAAGACGGAUAAUUGACUUAAAAGGACACUGUCAAGAAGUUUGAGCUACCUUAAUGCUGUCACCCUGGUCUGCAAACAGAAAAUAAAAUUGCUUUGGGUUCUGUGUUCCGGAGUUUUCCCUGGAAAACUCUGCUCUGUUACAAAGGGAUCAGUCAGCCCUGGCUCCAAAAUCCCGCUCUUCGCUCUCCCCUGCCACAGUAGGAACUAAACAAAAGUGUGGUUUUGUUUAUUAUUUUCCCAGAGUUGUGCAAAUCCUGUGAUUGCCGGGUGACCCCUCGCCCGUCCAGUCCGUCACCACCCUGAAACCUGGAGAAAGUUCUGGAAAUGAAGGCGCCCAAGGAGAGGGGGAGAAUCCACAGCGCUAAAGAGGGUUUGAAUAAAUAUCAGGGAUUAAAAGCCGUCUACAGGAGGGCAUUGACAGUAUCCUUUUAACCACAGCAGCCUGGGCUCGCUCCCAGCAGAGCGAGCGCAGACGGGGGGGGAUGGAGGGGAGCAGCUCCGGGACCCUCCUGCUGGGAACAGCAAAUUGUCCUUGGAAUUCCUGGUGGGAAACCCAGCCCAGCCCCUAAAGCAGCCAUGCCUGGGGCUGCAGCUGCCCCCUCCCCACCAGGAGACCCCCAGGACCGAGGAGAGCCCCAGCCCCGAGGGGAGCCCCAGCUCCGAGGGGAGCCCCAGCUCUGAGUGGAACCCCAGCUCUGAGGGGACCCCCAGCUCUGAGGGGAGCCCCAGCUCCAGCUCUGAGGGGACCCCCAGCUCUGGGGGGACCCCCAGUUCUGAGAGGAGCCCCAGCUCCAGGGGGACCCCCAGCUCCAGCUCCGAGGGGACCCCCAGCUCCCGGGUGCAGGGACAGCAGGAAUGAUGGACACGGCCCCCACAGACCUGACCCUGCCCCAUCCUGCCCCCUCCAACCCUCGGGAUCUGCCCAGCAGUUCCACACCGGGCCCCUGGAAUUCGGCCAGCCCAGGGGCUCCCCUGGAGCACCCGCACCGAUUUUGCCUGAAACACCCCCAAAAAAGCAGCCACAGACCCCCCCCUCGCCCAGAGCUGGGCCUGGCACGUCCAAACCCCACCCCGGGGGUCCCAGGGCACCCACACUUACCUGGGGAGGGCGGGAGGAGCCCCGGCAGUGACAGGGAGCAGGGGGGAUCCCAGCCCCUGCUCCGUCAGGGAAUCCUGAAUUCCAAGCAAAAACCUCUGCUUUGCUUUUCCUCGGGGAAAGGACAGCAGGAGGGAACUCACAGUGGCUGGAACAGGGACUAGAAUGUUCUCCCUGUGCUGAGAAUUAUAUAUUUCUAUAUAUAUUGUUCCCUGUGUGGAGAAUCGUAUCCUCGUCAUCGGGAUAAAAGCUGGAUUCGGGAUCAAUUUGGACACCCAAUCCCUGAUCACACAGGCCAGGAGAGCCCAGCCUGGGGGGCAGCUCCACAAACUCCUUUAAAAUCCUCCUGACAGCUCAUCACAGGCUCAGGCUUCUCCCAGGAAAAAAAAUUCCUUAUGGAUUCAUUGCUUUGGGCUGGGAAAUCUUAAGAAAUGACUGAAUCAGAAAUUUGGAAAAAAUUAAAAAAGAAAAGCAGGAUUUGGGCAGGGUAUAAAAUAUGUGGCAUUAGAAAUUCCAAGCUCUACCACAACAAUUUGGGAAAAAUCUGGGAAAC
Long non-coding RNA from Prinia subflava (tawny-flanked prinia), 3585 nucleotides. RefSeq lists it as uncharacterized. NCBI's taxonomy places the organism in Eukaryota, Metazoa, Chordata, Aves, Passeriformes, Cisticolidae. The record is from RefSeq and is a predicted model, not a curated record. The transcript has 2 exons.